UUCAUGAUCAAAUUCUUCUUCAUAUAUAGACUUGGUGCAAUAAGCUUAAUAGACAUAGCCCUUGACAAACAUUCCCUUCUUGGCUUCAUCGGAUUCACCCUCACCAGUGUACUUCCCGAGCUGAGCAAGGGAGUUGGCCUUGGCUCGAACCAGCAGAGUAUCUUGUGCUGCCUUGACGUUCUCGGGGCGUCCUCCCCACGUCUUCAAGCAUGUGUUCUGGAGGGCCCGGGCAUAGGAGAACGAUACGUGCCAUGGGUUAGGGGCUUGGUUCAUGGCAUUCAAAUUCAAGGUUGCUUCUACUUCAGAUUGCCCACCAGACAAGAACUGCUCAAAUCAAACAAUUGACUCUGUUAGUCUAUACAUAAGAUCACAUGAAGACAUUAUUUGUUGAAGAAUCCAUCUAGCUUAGAAUUAACCGAUGUUGCUGCUGAAGCGUCAUACUAGGAAGCAUGUUUGGCAAGCUUAAAAUUACUUAUUUUGAGGGUAACUCUUACAUUAGUGUCAAAAUAAAAGUAAUUCACUUAUUUUCAACUUCGUCCCAAAAAAAAAUCAACUCAUUGCAAAACUUAUUUACUUAUAGGUAAACUUCUUAAGCUUUAGCCAAAAAUGCUUAGGUUCCAUAUCGACUCUUUGUUUGAUUCUCUCUCUUCUCUUUAAUCAUUAAAGGAAAACUAUCGAUAUAAGCUUUAAGUACGAAAAUUAAGACCAGGAUACUUGCCAUGAUUCCAGGGACAGCUGGGGGAAUCCUCCUGUGGAGAAGCUUGAGAGUGUAAUCAGCAACUUGCUCGGGGGUUGCCUUCUCCUUGCAUUCGGCUCCAGGAGUAACCAUGCUCGGCUUGAGAAGAAUACCCUCGAACAGAACAUUGUUCUCGGCCAAAUAGAAGAAAACCUCAGCCCAAACCUUUAGGGCAACUUCGAAAGUCCUGUCUAUGCCAUGUUCACCAUCAAGCAAGAUUUCUGGCUCAACAAUCGGGACCAAUCCGUUGUCCUGAAUAAUAAAUAAACAUUAGAUUUAACAAUAUUUGUCUGCACUAAACAGUGUUUAGAAAGAAAAAUAAGCUAAAAUUUUAUUUAUAUCAGCAUUAGUGUUUUGUAUGUAGAAAAGUUGUGCUUUAAACUCGAUACAUACUUGAGCAAUGGCAGCAUAUCGAGCCAAGCCCCAAGCGGCCUCCUUCACGGCCAAGGCAGAUGGACCAUUUGGAAUGCUCACAACGGUACGCCUAAAAGAUGAAGCAUAGGUAGAUGAUAUCAGUAUGGGCAUUUCAAAAUUUAGGACAUGAAAAUUGUGACACCGUGCUGUUAAGAACAAGGAAAUGGACUCAAAAAUCGUGAUCCAGGCCUACCAUUUGGCAAAACGAGCACCCUGUUGGUAGUAAGCAGCGGUCCGGGAAGCAAGGCCAUCGAGUCCUUGGCACCAGGACUCAUCAUUUGAACCAGCAAGGGGAACCAAACCCUGCUCCGAUCCAAAUUAGCAUAUCUUUAGUAUCAUCGAAUCUUGUUUUAAAAGUUUUUAAAUUUUCCCCAAAUUUGUGCAUUACCUUGUCGACUUUGAUACCGGGGACAAUGUUUUGCUUGACGAGGACAUCAACCAUCUUUUUGCCAUCGGUGGUCGAUUGGUAGAGAGUCUCUUCAAAGAGGAUGGCACCAGAGAUGUACUGGCCGAGGCCGGGGGCUGUCACGAGGAGGGUACGGUAAGCUUGGCGAUUAGCCUCGGUGUUCUCAAGCCCAAUCGAAGCAAGACGCUUUCCACAGGUAGCAUUUGAUUCAUCCAUGGCCAAAAUUCCACGGCCAGGUGAUGCAACAGUUUUCUGCAUUAUUCAUUCUCCACUGUUAAUCAACUAGUUUUACACCUCUAAAUUCAUCCCUCUUUCUCUGCCUUAGUAUGCUCUAUUGUGUUCAAAAUCAUAGUUCGUUGUUCAAAAAACAUGUUUUAAGAUUCACUAUUUCUUGCAAAUACCAAUUGAAGUCUUUCGGGAAAUGAAAAUAUGGGCCGAAGAAUGAAUGCUUUCUAUUUGUAGCUUAUAGUAUUUGACGCCGAUUGCAACAAGUUAACAAUAAAAGAAAUUAGACACAUACCGCAGUCUUAACAAGCUCAUCGGCAUAGGAUGAUGCUCGUAUUGUGAGCGAAGUCACCGCAUUCGGGUGGCACCGGACGACGGAGACGGAGGGUUGGCGAAGGGACUGACCCUUAACAAACUCAGCCUUAUCAAGAACAGGAGAUGACUUGAUGAGCGAUGCUGAGGCCAUUGCUAUAUUUUUGCUGCUAAAAUUUGACACACAAAUGGCAAUUUACAAAAUCUUAUCUCUUU
Molecule: long non-coding RNA, 2309 nt
Filed under: Olea europaea (common olive)
Lineage: Eukaryota; Viridiplantae; Streptophyta; Magnoliopsida; Lamiales; Oleaceae
Description: long non-coding RNA (OEUR_LNC006372)
Source: RNAcentral